CCAUCAUUGACACAUUGACGUCAGACGAAAUUCAGCUACCAAACGACGUAGAAAAAAUCGUCCGGCUGUCAUGUUUUAACUAAGGUGAUAAUUCAGUUGCCAGUAGUUUGUUUUGAUGUCUCUUAGCUCUCCCAAAAGACAGCCAUUGGAUGUAUUGUAAUAGAAAACGUUUUUUUUCCUGCACAAUUAAACAGAACAGCAGUGGCAUCAUCUGAAGUCAACAAAUUUCUUUCGCUCACAUUUGAUCAACAAAAGGCAAUGUCACCUUAUACGUGCACAGCACUACUGGUCUACGAUAGUACCUCAAACCUCCACAUAUAAACAUUCAACAGGAACCUCCAUCCUCACCCGCUCUUCACUUCCACUUCAGUUCUCCUUCAACAGGUGUUGAUAUGGUGAAAUAUUACUUGAGUUUCAAUCUGCAAAUUUUUCAAACACACUCUAUUUGCAACUUUCACAGUGUAGUGCUACGUGAAGGAGGACUGCUGAGCAAAAAGUGUAAUACCAGACUUACAGGUGACAAGCAUACAGCAAAUAACAAUGACAGCAUUACAGUACCUCAUUGAAACGGUGACGCAAGGGCAAAAACAAAAAAAAACCUUAAAAUACUUUAAAAAAACCUGCUGCUUCUUUGGUUCCGUUACAUUUUAACAAUGUUGGUGCAAUACAGUGACAGGCUGCAGCUUGUAUUGGAAUAUGAA
Daphnia carinata is the source of this 701-nucleotide long non-coding RNA. RefSeq lists it as uncharacterized. The record is from RefSeq and is a predicted model, not a curated record. NCBI's taxonomy places the organism in Eukaryota, Metazoa, Arthropoda, Branchiopoda, Diplostraca, Daphniidae. The transcript has 6 exons.